RNAcentral lists this ribosomal RNA (326 nucleotides) under uncultured bacterium. RNAcentral describes it as "bacterial SSU rRNA". It matches the Rfam family "Bacterial small subunit ribosomal RNA", at positions 32 to 335 of the family's 1533-position model. The record is from RNAcentral.
AAUCAACGCUGGCGGCGUGCCUCAGACAUGCAAGUCGAACGCUGCUGUUCGCCUUCGGGUGGACAGCGGAGUGGCGCACGGGUGAGUAACACGUAGGUAAUCGUACCUUUGGGUGGGGAAUAACAGCCGGAAACGGCUGCUAAUACCGCAUAAUGCAGCGGCAUCACAUGAUGACAGUUGUUAAAGCGAGGGAUCGUAAGACCUCGUCGCCUGAAGAGGAGCCUGCGGCAGAUUAGGUAGUUGGUGAGGUAAUGGCUCACCAAGCCUGCGAUCUGUAACCGGCUGAGAGGGCGGUCGGUCACACUGACACUGACAUACGGGUCAGA